This 473-nucleotide ribosomal RNA is filed under the name uncultured bacterium. RNAcentral's name for it is "bacterial SSU rRNA". It matches the Rfam family "Bacterial small subunit ribosomal RNA", at positions 335 to 800 of the family's 1533-position model. The record is from RNAcentral.
ACUCCUACGGGAGGCAGCAGUGGGGAAUAUUGCACAAUGGGCGCAAGCCUGAUGCAGCCAUGCCGCGUGUAUGAAGAAGGCCUUCGGGUUGUAAAGUACUUUCAGCAGUGAGGAAGGUGGAUAUGUUAAUAGCAUAUUCAUUUGACGUUAGCUGCAGAAGAAGCACCGGCUAACUCCGUGCCAGCAGCCGCGGUAAUACGGAGGGUGCGAGCGUUAAUCGGAAUUACUGGGCGUAAAGCGCAUGCAGGUGGUUUGUUAAGUCAGAUGUGAAAGCCCGGGGCUCAACCUCGGAAUUGCAUUUGAAACUGGCAAACUAGAGUACUGUAGAGGGGGGUAGAAUUUCAGGUGUAGCGGUGAAAUGCGUAGAGAUCUGAAGGAAUACCGGUGGCGAAGGCGGCCCCCUGGACAGAUACUGACACUCAGAUGCGAAAGCGUGGGGAGCAAACAGGAUUAGAUACCCUGGUAGGCGUUGU